RNAcentral lists this ribosomal RNA (234 nucleotides) under uncultured bacterium. RNAcentral describes it as "partial 16S ribosomal RNA". It matches the Rfam family "Bacterial small subunit ribosomal RNA", at positions 15 to 245 of the family's 1533-position model. The record is from RNAcentral.
GAUCAUGGCUCAGGAUGAACGCUAGCGACAGGCUUAACACACGCAAGUCGAGGGGCAGCACAGGUAGCAAUACCGGGUGGCGACCGGCGCACGGGUGAGUAACGCGUAUGCAACUUGCCUAUCAGAGGGGGAUAACCCGGCGAAAGUCGGACUAAUACCGCAUGAAGCAGGGGCCCCGCAUGGGGGUAUUUGCUAAAGAUUCAUCGCUGAUAGAUAGGCAUGCGUUCCAUUAGG